Etheostoma spectabile (orangethroat darter) is the source of this 1370-nucleotide RNA transcript. RefSeq lists it as uncharacterized. The record is from RefSeq and is a predicted model, not a curated record. NCBI's taxonomy places the organism in Eukaryota, Metazoa, Chordata, Actinopteri, Perciformes, Percidae. The transcript has 6 exons.
CUUUGAGCAAUAUGGCGACUAACGUGAGUGAAAACAUUGGAGUCGGUUUGUUGUGCUGAGAAAGUGUGUGAGCUCCAACAGAUGUGGUCCUUCAGAGCCUGUGUGUGUCCGGAUAAACCUGUCUGAUGGACUUUGUGCUGCUCACCUUCUUUCUGAAUGUUUUACCUCGGACUCAUCUCCCGGAAGCUACAAAGCUAACGACGCUAGCUUAGCAUGCUAGCUGCUUAGCAACAGUUUGAAGGAAAACAAACAGCGUUUUUGACGGAGUUUGUUCGGAGGGAAAGUUUCUAUCAUUGUGUGAAAAUGUCUAAAGUCCAAAUGCUGAGAGGGCUGGUGGAGCAGCGACUAACUGCGGCUGCUGAAGAGAUAUUUGGGCUGGUUGAAAGAACGAUAGCAGAGUACGAGGAGGAACUGUGUCGUUCUAAAGAGGAGCACGAGCGCCAACGGAAACGACUGGACGCUGUUUUCAGCCCUCAGCUCCGGCUGCACAGAGCAGAGCUCCCACAGCAACAUGUCUGUAAGGAGGAGGAGGUUCUCUCGGACCAGCAGCUCAACAUGCCAGUUAUAACCUCUGUGGAAUCAGAAGCAAACCGUGACCACCAGCUCCUCUCUCACAACUCUCAUGGAGCUGAGAGCCAAGAUCAGAAAGGAGGCCAGCAUGGAGACUCAGGAUCAGCUAGAAAUGCAGAGCCAGAACCAAAGAAGAGACGACGCAAGAGCAGAAGUCACAGCAACAACGUAGACAACACUAACAUGUCAGAGGUUCACUCUAAUACUCAAACAGAGCUCCCACAGCAACAUGUCUGUAAGGAGGAGGAGGUUCUCUCUGACCAGCAGCUCAACAUGCCAGUUAUAACCUCUGUGGAAUCAGAAGCAAACCGUGACCACCAGCUCCUCUCUCACAACUCUCAUGGAGCUGAGAGCCAAGACCAGAAAGGAGGCCAGCAUGGAGACUCAGGAUCAACUAGAAAUGCAGAGCCAGAACCAAAGAAGAGACGACGCAAGAGCAGAAGUCACAGCAACAACGUAGACAACACUAACAUGUCAGAAACAGAUGGCAUCUCCAAUGAAACUGCCGUCCGUCCAGGACCCUGACGUUGAGAGGGCGCGGCAGGCCCUGCAGCUGUGUGCGUAUGCUUGCAACGACCCAGCUGUUCCCCGGUACACCCUGUUCCCCCAGUUGAUGGAGGCCACAACUGGGGUGAUGACAGUGGUGUGCCGGGAACACCGGCAAAGGAAGGCGGCAGAGAGCCAUCAUAAAAGGCUGGGGAGGAGGCUGGAGAGCCUCCAAAAAGAAAAAGAAAGAGCAGAAACAAGGUAGAUAGAGAUGAUGCAGCAAUGGAGGCAGAGCCGGGAGAGGAGUGAGACCU